AAUUUAAUAAUAUAUACCAUAUAUGUUCAACCUUUUUACUAGAGGUGUUCACUGUAACUUGUAAGAAGUUAAUAGAAUAUAAUUUCUAAUUUUUAGCAUAGCUAUGGGAUUGGGAGUUUUAGCGGCUUUUAAAUGUAACUGCUCAUCGCCGUGGAUGUACUUGAGAUUAACGAAGUUAAUAAGUCAUAGGCCUAAGUUUUUGUUACAUUUGAGAUCAUCCACAGUUUGUUUGGAAACAAAGUUGUUCAUUUCGCACUGUUAUCAGAAUGUGAGAUCACAGUGUUUUCGAAGUUUUUCAAACAAAAGCCCAUCUUUACAAGAUCACGGUGUUGAACAAAAAAUAGACUUAAUAAGAAAUAUAGGCAUAAUUGCCCAUAUUGAUGCUGGUAAAACUACAACAACGGAACGUAUGUUGUAUUAUUCAGGAUUUUCUCGUACAAUGGGUGAAGUUCACGAGGGAGAUACAAUUAUGGACUAUAUGCCACAGGAAAGAGAGCGGGGAAUAACUAUAACAUCAGCAGCGAUCACUUUUCCAUGGAAGGGCUACAAAAUAAAUCUGAUUGAUACACCAGGCCAUGUAGACUUUACUAUUGAGGUGGAACGAUCAUUAAGAGUAUUGGAUGGUGCUGUAGCAAUCUUGGAUGCAUCUGCAGGAGUGGAAGCUCAGACUCUUACUGUUUGGUCACAGGCUAAUCAUUAUGAUCUUCCACGUAUUGUGUACAUCAAUAAAAUGGAUAAACUAUCAGCAAGAUUUAAUGCAAGUGUUGAAUCAAUAAAAACAAAGCUUCACGUUAAUCCAUUAAUAUUACAGUUACCAGUAGGACAAGGAAAGUCAUUCAAGGGUGUUGUAGAUCUUAUAACACUGGAAAAGUGUCUUUGGGACAUAAAAAAUCCACAUAUUGAUGAUGGAAGUGUAUUCAAAAAAUUAAAACUCAGUUCUGCUGUUGAUGGCAGUUUUUGGGAGGAUGCUUCUUGCAGAAGGGAACAACUAAUUAAUCAUCUUGCAGACCUGGAUGAUGUAUUAGCAGAAAAAAUACUACAGGAUGAAACAACUACCCAUUUGAAAGACGAUGACCUUUAUGCUGCUGUGAGACGUGUUACUUACAGUCAGAGUGGUGUUCCUGUUUUAUGUGGUAGUUCAUAUCAUAACAUUGCUGUACAGUUUCUUUUAGAUGCUAUUAAUGCAUAUUUACCUAGUCCAUUAGAUAGAAAAUAUGAGUUCCUUAAAUAUUAUGGUGAAAGUCUCUGUUGCUUGGUUUUUAAAAUUGUGCAUGAUAAACAGAAAGGACCUUUGAGUUUUGUUCGUGUAUACUCGGGAAAGGUUGAGCAAGGACAGAAGAUUUAUAAUGUAAACAGGUCACAAACAGAAAAGUUAGCAAGAAUGUACUGUCCAUAUGCUGAUGACUUCAGAGAAGUAAAAUCAGCUCAUUCUGGAAGUAUUGUUGUACUUACUGGAUUAAAAAAUGCUGUAACUGGAGACACUCUUGUAGCAUCUCAUCAUCAAGUUGAUGUUAUAGCUGAACAGAAGCUAUUAGAGGAAGAAGAAUCUGCAGUUUCAAUUGGAAUACAAGUUCCAGAUCCAGUGUUUUUUUGUUCAAUUGAAGCACCAUCUCUAGCAUAUGAAAAACAACUUGAAUAUGCACUCCAGUGUCUUCAAAAAGAAGACCCAACAUUUAAAGUGCAUCUGGAUAGUGACUCUGGACAAACUGUUGUGUCAGGAAUGGGUGAACUUCAUUUGGAAGUUAUAAAGGAUCGCAUUAAAACCGAAUAUGGUGUUGAAGCCUUUUUGGGACCCUUGCAAGUUUCCUAUCGUGAAACAGCUAAUAAUUCACAUCAGGAAACGGUGGAAUUAAACAAGGUAUUAGGAGGUACAAAACAUUUUGUGAAAAUUACAUUAGCAAUUAAGCCUGCUCUUGGUGAGGGGAAAGUUUCAAAAGUACAAGUUGUACCAGAUAAAAAUAAUGAAUUAGGCAAAAUUCGUCUUGAUUACCUGAAAGCUGUAAAUAAUGGUGUGGAACAAAGCAUCAGUUGUGGACCACUUAUUGGCUUUCCUGUUAUUGAUAUACACAUAGCUCUACACUGUUUAGAAGUUGGUCCUAGAACCUCUCUUGCUAUGAUCUCAGCAGCAGCCUCCCAGUGUAUACAUUCUAUUUUAAAGAAUGCUGGUACUCAACUCCUUGAGCCAGUUAUGAAAUUAGAAGUAGUGACAGAUGAAAAUCACUUGAGCCAAAUAUUAGCAGAUCUAUCCCAGAGACGAAGUCAGAUUCAGGAAAUACAAUUCAGACAAGAAAAUCGCAUUGUAACAGCCAUUACUCCAUUAGCUGAGUUAAAGAAAUAUUCUACAGAUCUUCGAACAGUGACUUCAGGAACAGCAACCUUUUCAAUGGAGUUUCAUUGUUAUCAACAGAUGUCUUCAUACGAUCAGCAGAAAGCAAUAGAAGAAAUUACUGGAUUUGUACAAUUUUAAUAUUUUUCUAUCACAGUACUCAUGUGAUUGAGCCUCAAAGAAAGAAAACCAGACAAUUAUCAAAAGAUGGACAAGUCAGUUGGCUAGUACACAUCAUUAGGGCUGAUACUAAAGAGUAGUUACACCUACAUUAGAGUCUGUUCGGAACAUUUCAUUGCUGGGAAACUGGCAAACUUGUAUGAUUACAUGAAUCAUGACUGAGGCUCAAUAAUCAACAUGUGACACAACACCUACAACAGAUCUGAAGUCACGAUAUGGGUAUGCAGUUCAGUGUUCAACAGAAAUAAAGCAGUGCAGCUGCAGCAUUGUUAAUGCUACAGAGGUUUAGAUGUGUUAAUGAAGUCCCAAACUAGUCGUAUACUGUGGAGACUUGGACAUCAUCACAGACUCAGCUGCACAUGAAACUAGUUUCAUCCAUUGAGCAUGAGCUGCAGAGAUUGCUUGGCAAAAAUGUUGGACUAAAGAAAGAAGUACAGUUGUCUGAUGUUUCACCUGAUUAUUUUGAUACUAAUGAUGUCAUGUACUACACUAGACUUACAAAUUACACAGUACUCAUGGCACUUUUAUCUGGAGCCAUAUAUUCUACUCACGGACAGAAGCUGUUUCACAAAUUUUCAACAGCUACUAUUAACUUUAAUGAAACUUCAACUCAAUUUAUUAGUGCAGGACCCAUCUUACAGAUUUCAUAAAUCAACAGCCACAGUGAACUAUAUGUUUCUUUUAAUAAUUGACAUUAUGUUUGUGGAACUGGUCUGAAAAAGAGAACCUUAAAAAAAACCAUGCCAAUGAGUUUUCAUGCUCAUUUUGGAACCAAGGCUGCAGUUGUUGUGAAAUGUUUUGAGGUGUUUUAUCAACCAACCACCAAACCUAAUGGCUUGUGCACAAUCCUGGUCAUCUUAUAAACAUCACAACACAGCCAAGUUUCUUAUUGGAAUUACACCCCAGGGUGAUAAAUUUAUAACAGAGCUUUGUGGCAUAUUGAACAAACUUCUUUCUGGAGAUGUCGUGCAAACACAUGAAGGUCUGGACUUUCAGGACAGUGUAGGAAUUAUGUGUACUGAAGUCAAUAUUUCUGCAUUUACAAAUAGAAAAACAACAAUUUUCAGCCAGGGAAAUAGACCACACAAGAGAAAUUUCCAACUUUAGAAUACAUUUGGAAUGUGUUUUAGGUUCUGUUAGAAUUAUAAUAUUCUAUAAACAAUGCUGCCCAUUGACUAUAGUAUCAUUAAGAAGGGUGAGGAAUGUACAACAAUUGACAAAAUGGUAUGUGUGUAUUAUGCUUUAGUCAGAAUAAUGUAAUUUGACUAAGAAUGAAAGAUAUUUUGUGGAUCUAUUUGCCUAUUCUUAAAUUAUUAUUUUUUAUAAACCGUAGAACGUUUUAGGUAGUUGAGUAAAUGUGAUGAAAUUACUUUUGCAAAUCAUUAUCACAUGAAAUGCUUAAAGGAGUAGGCCAAAUUUAUAAUUUUCUGUUAAUUUAGUUGGAAACUAAAGUUUACAAAGUGUCAGGUUGAAUUUAAGAGCAGUUUUUCUUUUGUACAAUUUUUCUUUAGAACUGUUUUCAUGCGACAACUAAAACUACAGAAUUUUUUUCAUUUGGUCUUCAUGCUGAAACAUUUUCCUAUAAACUCCACAAGAACAUUCAAAAUUAGAAUUGGAAAAUAUGAAUUAAAUGGUCAAAGUCGGUGAAUACAAGAGAAUUCAUAUUUAUAUGUGAUGUAGUGAUAUGAAAUCAUCUUGAAUAUUUUCCAGUAAAGUGAACAUGAGAAAAUUAUAUUUAUUAA
This 4248-nucleotide unclassified non-coding RNA is filed under the name Limulus polyphemus (Atlantic horseshoe crab). RNAcentral's name for it is "ribosome-releasing factor 2, mitochondrial-like, transcript variant X7". Lineage: Eukaryota; Metazoa; Arthropoda; Merostomata; Xiphosura; Limulidae. The record is from RNAcentral.